This 72-nucleotide transfer RNA is filed under the name Ophiura luetkenii. RNAcentral's name for it is "tRNA-Val". It matches the Rfam family "tRNA". Rfam says of the family: Transfer RNA (tRNA) molecules are approximately 80 nucleotides in length. Their secondary structure includes four short double-helical elements and three loops (D, anti-codon, and T loops). Lineage: Eukaryota; Metazoa; Echinodermata; Ophiuroidea; Amphilepidida; Ophiuridae. The record is from RNAcentral.
AAAAGAGUAGCUAUCGACGGAAAGUGCUGCUUUUACAAUGCAGUGAUGUUUGUUAAACUCAAACCUCUUUUA